UAUCCUGGCUCAGGACGAACGCUGGCGGCGUGCCUAAUACAUGCAAGUCGAGCGAAUCUGAGGGAGCUUGCUCCCAAAGAUUAGCGGCGGACGGGUGAGUAACACGUGGGUAACCUGCCUGUAAGAUUGGGAUAACUCCGGGAAACCGGAGCUAAUACCGGAUAAUAAUUUGAACCGCAUGGUUCAAAUUUGAAAGAUGGCUUCUCGCUAUCACUUACAGAUGGACCCGCGGCGCAUUAGCUAGUUGGUGAGGUAACGGCUCACCAAGGCAACGAUGCGUAGCCGACCUGAGAGGGUGAUCGGCCACACUGGGACUGAGACACGGCCCAGACUCCUACGGGAGGCAGCAGUAGGGAAUCUUCCGCAAUGGACGAAAGUCUGACGGAGCAACGCCGCGUGAACGAUGAAGGCCUUCGGGUCGUAAAGUUCUGUUGUUAGGGAAGAACAAGUGCUAGAGUAACUGCUAGCACCUUGACGGUACCUAACCAGAAAGCCACGGCUAACUACGUG
This 510-nucleotide ribosomal RNA is filed under the name uncultured Bacillus sp. RNAcentral describes it as "bacterial SSU rRNA". It matches the Rfam family "Bacterial small subunit ribosomal RNA", at positions 15 to 507 of the family's 1533-position model. The record is from RNAcentral. Lineage: Bacteria; Bacillati; Bacillota; Bacilli; Caryophanales; Bacillaceae.